AUGGCAGCUCCAGGCCAAUCUCCGCACGAUGCAUGUGAUCAUACGGUGAGCAGAGGCCCGGCUCUGCUGCCCCGGCAGGCCAGCUCGGCGCCACCGGCUGGGCCGCCGGAGCUGUCGACGACAUCGUCGUCGACGACGGGGUCGGGGAGGACCGCGCCGGAGGCAAGGGCCCUGAAGGCCCACAGCGAGGCCGAGCGCCGGCGUCGGGUGAGGAUCAACGCUCAUCUCACGGCGCUCAGGAGGAUGAUCCCUGAUACCAAGCAGAUGGACAAGGCCGCCUUGCUGGCCAGGGUGGUGGACCAAGUGAGGCAGCUGAAGAGGAGAGCCAGCGAGGCCGCACAGCAGACGCCGGCCGUCCCGCCGGAGACCGACGAGGUCUCCGUCGAAUUCUGCUGCACAGGGGACACCGAUGACGACGACAGCCGCCUGUACAUUAAGGCGUCUGUCAGCUGCGAUGACCGCCCGGACCUCGUCGCCGGUUUCAUCCAGGCGCUCCAUGGCCUGAGACUUAGGACAGUAAGAGCGGAGGUGUCCUCCCUGGGAGGAAGGGUGCAGCACGUCUUCACACUCUGCAAGGAGGAGGAAGGCAGUGCAGGGUGUGCUGGACUGAAUUCCCUGAAGGAGGCUGUGAGGUUUGCUCUGGCCAAGGUUGCUUCAUCAGAGCUGGUGUGUGGCGGCAGUCCGUUCCAGUUCCAGAGCAAGAGGCAGAGGAUUCUUGAGUCGCAUUACUCAAUCAUGUCCAUAUAG
Molecule: ribosomal RNA, 747 nt
Filed under: Triticum aestivum (bread wheat)
Lineage: Eukaryota; Viridiplantae; Streptophyta; Magnoliopsida; Poales; Poaceae
Description: partial small subunit ribosomal RNA
Source: RNAcentral